This 343-nucleotide transfer-messenger RNA is filed under the name Dehalococcoidia. RNAcentral describes it as "GCA-002694895 sp002715665 Standard tmRNA". It matches the Rfam family "transfer-messenger RNA". Rfam says of the family: Bacterial tmRNA, also known as 10Sa RNA or SsrA, is named for its dual tRNA and mRNA-like properties. Its role is to liberate the mRNA from a stalled ribosome. To accomplish this part of the tmRNA is used as a reading frame that ends in a translation stop signal. RNAcentral also lists the same sequence under 1 other name. The record is from RNAcentral. Lineage: Bacteria; Bacillati; Chloroflexota.
GGGGACGCGCGGUUUCGACAGGGAAUUUAUGAGGCAGGGUUGCAGGUCGAGGACCAUAAAACUCGUAAAAAAAUGGAAAAAAUUAACUGACAAUAAACAGUUAGCUUUAGCAGCUUAAUUACUGCUACAUUGUAUUAUUUUUCCCCCGAGAGAAUAAUAUGAUGACGAAAUUCGGGGUAUAACUCUGAAAAACCGAUAAUUCAGAGAAGAAAUUUAAUCGGAAAAGCUUGAAAAACUCUUUCUGAUUGAAGUCUUCAAGUUUAAUAUCAAUCAGAUAAACCUGUAGAUACUCUAGACCGAGUGUUUUCUGGACGGGGAGUUCGACUCUCCCCCGUCUCCACCA